RNAcentral lists this ribosomal RNA (342 nucleotides) under Triticum aestivum (bread wheat). RNAcentral describes it as "partial small subunit ribosomal RNA". Lineage: Eukaryota; Viridiplantae; Streptophyta; Magnoliopsida; Poales; Poaceae. The record is from RNAcentral.
AUGGUCCCUGGGGAGUCAUGGUGGUUUGUUUCCUGCAAUAGACAUGGCAAAAAAAUCUCUGCCACAUGGAGAUGGCUGCUGCUGCACUGCAUGUGGAUACAGAGGAAAGAAGUUCAGGAUGGACAAGGGUGUCAUGUGUAUAUAUGUGAUAGCCGUGGUGUCCCUGACAUUUACGACGAAGAUGGAGCUAGCACGAUUGCUGCAUCAGAACCUUCAGUUGUCCUGGUACAAGCUACCUUUGCUUACAAUGCCGCAAUUAGAGAUUUUCUUGAUCAAUGGUAUGACACUGUAUGCAUCAGAACCUUUAGUUGUCAUGGUGCAUCUUGUGCAGCGAAGCUUUAG